CUUAACUAAAACACCGUGUACGAUCACACCGGCAAAUCCCAUCAGAAUUUCGCAGUUAAACAUGCUUGGGUGAAAACAGUACUAGGAUGUGUGACUUCCCAGAAAAUCCCCGUGUUACGG
Non-coding RNA from Brassica napus (rape), 120 nucleotides. The record is from Rfam. NCBI's taxonomy places the organism in Eukaryota, Viridiplantae, Streptophyta, Magnoliopsida, Brassicales, Brassicaceae.